UUAUAUAGGCAACUAUUCUAUAUACGCGUAUGUUAUUAGUCAUUGGCCGCCUCGCUCGGAUACAGUCGCCGCGCACUUAUAUUUGCUGCAGCGCCGAGACUGAUCGAUAAAAAAGUAUAUCAGGCGUAGGCUUUUUAUAUAUAAAAAUAGUAUAAGCUCGCGCGUAUAGGUGUAGCGUAUACAGUUGGCGCGACGAGUAAUCAGAUAGCUAAUAAACGCGAAUAAACCGCGUUAUAAAGCCAUACAGAGUGCGAGUGCGGAGUACAUUGAGGACUGUUCACUGCACCGCGAGCUCCGAGACUUCGAGAGACUAUAUCUAUAUACGAGUCGACCACUACCAAACGUCCAACACACACUGUGGCCUCUUGUGUAUACACACACACGCACGCAUAACGUACAUGUAUGUAAAUAUACACGCACAUAGCCAUAUAGCUGCGUGCAGGCUGACGACACAUGCUGCUUUGUGCUGCUGCUGUGUAUGGCAGUGUUGAAUUGCACGCGCGGAUAACACAAGUGUCCAAGUCUGCGUCACCACCAGCGACAAAGACGCGCGACAACGACGACUGACAUGAUGAUGAAAAACAUCAAACCUUGUGGGCUUAUUUGAUGAAGACUGUGAUGAGUGAUUCGGAACAGCGUCAACUGCAUGUGCCUUAUCGAGAGUAUAACAGUAACAAUAGUACAACACCAGCUACUCUUGUAGAAACAGAUGCUCUCGUUGACCUGUCAGUCACCCCAAGCAGUAACAUUGCCAUACUUGCCAACGGUGAUCCAGUAGUUUUAAUACCAGACGUUGAAUUUGCUCCUAACCCUAGUGUUGAUCAAGCAUUAACCAUUGAUUCACCUGGAGCAGACCGGGAGAGUCAACCUCUCCUUGGUCGCUUAGAGCUGGAUAUUACGUACAAUAGGUUUCCUGACGAUCCACAAUUUUCAGAAUUAAUAUCGCAAGCAGAAGGUGCAAUAGAUAAUGGAAUAUUUCCAGAAAGAAUAUACCAAGGCUCUAGUGGAAGUUACUUUGUUAAAAAUCCAGCAGGGAAAAAUAUUGGCGUAUUCAAGCCAAAAGACGAAGAGCCAUAUGGCCGUUUAAAUCCAAAAUGGACCAAAUGGAUGCACAAGUUAUGUUGCCCUUGUUGUUUUGGCCGGAGUUGCUUGAUACCAAAUCAAGGAUACCUCAGCGAAGCUGGAGCAAGUCUUGUAGACCGAAAACUUGGUCUAGGUGUUGUUCCAAAAACAAGGGUCGUAAGACUCGUCAGUAAAACUUUCAAUUACGUCCGCAUAGACCGCGAGAAAGCUAGAAUGAAACAAGCUAUUCUGGAGCAGUUUCCAGCUGUAGCGUCGCGCUUCCACAGGAUAGGUCUGCCGCCGAAAGUUGGCUCAUUCCAGUGCUUCGUCGAUGGUUUUAAAGAUGCUGACUUCUGGCUUAGGCGCUGGGAAAGUGAUCCACCACCACCGCACCUGGCCACACAAUUUCAAUUACAAUUCGAGCGUCUAGUCGUUUUAGACUAUAUUAUUAGAAAUACGGAUAGAGGUAACGAUAAUUGGCUGAUAAAAUACGACGCAGCUUCAGCGAAGAAUGGCACUGAGGGCGAAGUGAAAAUUGCCGCAAUCGAUAAUGGUUUGGCAUUUCCCUUCAAGCACCCAGACUCAUGGCGCGCGUAUCCUUAUCACUGGGCUUGGUUGAGCCAAGCCAAACUGCCUUUUAGCGAGACUACAAGGGAACUUGUUUUACCUCAAUUAGCCGAUCAAAAUUUUGUACAAGAUUUGUGCGAUGACUUGUAUCAAUUGUUUAAACAAGAUAAAGGAUUUGAUCGACAUUUAUUUGAUAAACAAAUGAGUGUGAUGCGAGGCCAAAUAUUAAAUCUUCAGCAGGCUUUGAAAGAUGCCAAGAGUCCAGUGCAACUCGUCCAAAUGCCGGCUGUUAUCGUUGAAAAGUAAUUAAGACGUUAAACUAUCUACUUCUCUCUUCUAUCAACAACAACACCAGAUUUUUUAAAGAGGCCAGAGGAAACGAAGCACCGAAGCUAUUUUCAUUCUCGGACACGUUUACACAGCGCUUCCAAAACAAGAGUCCUUUCUUCUCUUGGUGUUA
This 2089-nucleotide unclassified non-coding RNA is filed under the name Trichogramma pretiosum. RNAcentral describes it as "phosphatidylinositol 4-kinase type 2-alpha, transcript variant X2". The record is from RNAcentral. Lineage: Eukaryota; Metazoa; Arthropoda; Insecta; Hymenoptera; Trichogrammatidae.